RNAcentral lists this long non-coding RNA (746 nucleotides) under Pelobates cultripes (western spadefoot toad). Lineage: Eukaryota; Metazoa; Chordata; Amphibia; Anura; Pelobatidae. The record is from RNAcentral.
GUGCUGUCAGUGUGAGGCGUGGGUGGGAUGGGGUGCUGUCAGUAGGAGGGGGGCAGGGGUGGGGUGCUGUCAGUAGGAGGGGGGCAGGGAUGGGAUGGGGUGCUGUCAGUAGGAGGGGGGCAGGGAUGGGAUGGGGUGCUGUCAGUAGGAGGGGGGCAGGGAUGGGGUGCUGUCAGUAGGAGGCGGGCAGCAGGGAUGGGAUGGGGUGCUGUCAGUAGGAGGGGGGCAGGGAUGGGAUGGGGUGCUGUCAGUAGAAGGGGGGCAGGGAUGGGAUGGGGUGCUGUCAGUAGGAGGGGGGGGGAUCUGUACUGGGGAAGCUGAUUGCUUGCAUUAUAUGAACACUGCCUACUGGUUUUAGAGAUGAUGUAAGGAUGUGGUUAGCCAACCUGUGUUUGUCAGUCACAUUUAAUAUUUAGGGUGGUGGUAAUAUUCACAACAAACAAUCCAUUAUAAACCCACACAAAUCUACUGUGGUUACAAGUCAGUCACAUUGAAAAGUCUUCUAAUGAUGUAAAUUGUUUAAAUGUAUCUGUUUAAACAAUAGCCCCCCAAAAAAUCAUGCUAAUUACUGGUUUGGUUUUCAGGCUGAGCUUUUUGGUUUCCACACAUUGUACUAUAUUAUAGAGGUUUACUCAUAGUUUGAGACAGGUUCAAAAAUAGACCAGAUUUCUCUCAUAUUAAUAAUGUUAACAGCAACUUUUGAAUAUAUCGGUGGUUGAGCCUUUCAUGUAAACAGAUUCAAUAAC